This 24-nucleotide non-coding RNA is filed under the name Drosophila erecta. Lineage: Eukaryota; Metazoa; Arthropoda; Insecta; Diptera; Drosophilidae. The record is from RNAcentral. RNAcentral also lists the same sequence under 1 other name.
UGGGCAAAUACAUGGAAUGGAGAG